Molecule: ribosomal RNA, 491 nt
Filed under: uncultured bacterium
Lineage: Bacteria
Description: partial 16S ribosomal RNA
Rfam family: Bacterial small subunit ribosomal RNA
Source: RNAcentral
AGUGAACGCUGGCGGUAGGCCUAACACAUGCAAGUCGAACGGCAGCACAGUAAGAGCUUGCUCUUACGGGUGGGGAGUGGCGGACGGGUGAGGAAUACAUCGGAAUCUACUUUUUCGUGGGGGAUAACGUAGGGAAACUUACGCUAAUACCGCAUACGACCUACGGGUGAAAGCAGGGGAUCUUCGGACCUUGCGCGAUUGAAUGAGCCGAUGUCGGAUUAGCUAGUUGGCGGGGUAAAGGCCCACCAAGGCGACGAUCCGUAGCUGGUCUGAGAGGAUGAUCAGCCACACUGGAACUGAGACACGGUCCAGACUCCUACGGGAGGCAGCAGUGGGGAAUAUUGGACAAUGGGCGCAAGCCUGAUCCAGCCAUACCGCGUGGGUGAAGAAGGCCUUCGGGUUGUAAAGCCCUUUUGUUGGGAAAGAAAAGCAGCAGGUUAAUACCCCGCUGUUCUGACGGUACCCAAAGAAUAAGCACCGGCUAACUUCGU